RNAcentral lists this ribosomal RNA (468 nucleotides) under uncultured bacterium. Its description in RNAcentral is "partial 16S ribosomal RNA". It matches the Rfam family "Bacterial small subunit ribosomal RNA", at positions 28 to 507 of the family's 1533-position model. The record is from RNAcentral.
GACGAACGCUGGCGGCGUGCUUAACACAUGCAAGUCGAACGGAAAGGCCCUGCUUUUGUGGGGUGCUCGAGUGGCGAACGGGUGAGUAACACGUAAGUAACCUGCCCUUGACUUUGGGAUAACUUCAGGAAACUGGGGCUAAUACCGGAUAGGAGCUCCUGCUGCAUGGUGGGGGUUGGAAAGUUUCGGCUGUUGGGGAUGGACUCGCGGCUUAUCAGCUUGUUGGUGGGGUAGUGGCUUAGCCCGGCUUUGACGGGUAGCCGGCCUGAGAGGGUGACCGGCCACAUUGGGACUGAGGUACGGCCCAGAGUGCUACGGGAGGCAGCGGUGGGGAAUAUUGCACAAUGGGCGGAAGCCUGAUGCAACAACGCCGCGUGCUGGAUGACGGUUUUCGGGUAGUAAACCGCUUUAGCGUGGGACGAAGCGUGAGUGACGGUAAUGGGUAAAGAAGCACCGGCUAACUACGUG